GCUGGGCCUGGUGAUGCUCGCCUGUAAUCCCAGUGGCUUGGAAGCCUGAGGUAGGAGGAUCAUGAGUUUAAAACCAGCCUUAGCAACUUAGUGAGGCUCUAAGCAACUUAGCAAUACCCUGUCUUUA
Molecule: small RNA, 127 nt
Filed under: Marmota monax (woodchuck)
Lineage: Eukaryota; Metazoa; Chordata; Mammalia; Rodentia; Sciuridae
Source: RNAcentral